GAUGAAGAACGCAGCGAAAUGCGAUAAGUAAUGUGAAUUGCAGAAUUCAGUGAAUCAUCGAAUCUUUGAACGCACAUUGCGCCCGCCAGUAUUCUGGCGGGCAUGCCUGUUCGAGCGUCAUUACAACCCUCAGGCCCCCGGGCCUGGCGUUGGGGAUCGGCGGAGCCCCCCGUGGGCACACUCCGUCCCCCAAAUGCAGUGGCGGUCCCGCCGCAGCUUCCAUCGCGUAGUAGCUAACACCUCGCGACUGGAGAGCGGCGCGGCCACGCCGUAAAACACCCAACUCUUCUGAAGUUGACCUCGAAUCAGGUAGGAAUACCCGCUGAACUUAAGCAUAUCAAUAAGCGGAGGA
This 352-nucleotide unclassified non-coding RNA is filed under the name soil metagenome. RNAcentral's name for it is "partial contains 5.8S ribosomal RNA, internal transcribed spacer 2, and large subunit ribosomal RNA". The stretch from base 1 to 120 matches the Rfam family "5.8S ribosomal RNA", at positions 35 to 154 of the family's 154-position model. The record is from RNAcentral.